Non-coding RNA from Oryza sativa Japonica Group (Japanese rice), 2574 nucleotides. NCBI's taxonomy places the organism in Eukaryota, Viridiplantae, Streptophyta, Magnoliopsida, Poales, Poaceae. The record is from RefSeq and is a predicted model, not a curated record.
UACUAGAGUUGUGGAGCUGGGUUUAGGCAGCUCCACAACUCCACUCCAAAUUCAACUCCUAGAGUUAUAUUUAGGAGUUGGAGUUAUACCAAACAGGCCCUUAUAUUUAGACUUCUGAGAGGUUAGCAGCUUGGCAAAGAGUUUAGAUGGGCCAUCUCAACACCAUGUUACCUUUGCUUUCAUUUGUGUUAUUGGGGAUAGCUCAAGUCAAGAGAAGCUUUGUGUUACACGGUGUCACCUGCUUGAUAGUAACUCUCCGUGUCAUUGUUUUUAUAUCGACAUGUUUGAAGUCUUCUCUUUUGACACCGGGUGGCAAGAUAGCACUGCCUGGAUUGAGUAAAUAACAGUAAAUCCAUUAGUCCAAUGCCAAAUAUAAUAAAAUGUUUUACUCACUCCAUUUUAUUUUAUAUGUUUUCACUAAUCGCAUUUUUUAAAUUGACCAAAUUUACAGAUAAAUUUAUUAGCAACGUCUAUAAUACUAAAUUAGUCUAAUCAUAUUAGCAUUGAAUAUAUUUGAAUAAUAUAUAUGUUUGUAUUAUGUUGAAAAUUUUAGUGUUUUCUAUAUAUAAACUUGAUUAAAUUUAAACAAAUAUAACUUAAAAAAUUGAAAUAUCUUAUAAUAUAAAACGAAGAGGGUAGACAUUAACAUAUUUUUGUCCCAAGAAAUGCAGUGACUCAUCCUUCUUUCCAACCACUACAUGUACUAAUUUGCCAACAGCAUAUAAGUACAAUUCAACGUUCGGUAGUUUGAAUAAUCCAAUACACGUAGCAAGAGCUUGUGGCGCCACAUACUGUAUAAACACCUUCCCCACCUCAAUAUUGAAAAUUUUAUAGAAAAUUUCGUCACUACCCACUGAAAUUGACUAGCUUUCAUUCUGUUAUAAAUAGAGGGCCAACUGUAAGAGCAGAGGCAAAGGCUGAAAGGCAUAGCUCUAGACACACUUAUAUUUAAACUUCUGAGAGGGUAGCAGCUUGGCAGAGUUUAGAUGGGCCACCUCAACACCAUGUUACCUUUGCUUUCAUUCGUGUUAUUGGGGAUAGCUCAAGUCAAGAGAAGCUUUGCACUCAGUCCAGUCCUCUCCUAUGGCCAUCUCAUCACCCCAUAUCCAGAGGGUAUGACCAGACGGUUGGAGAAAAGGUUCCUACUGGAUCAUGGUACCAAUCCAAGUCCUUCUAAUGCAUCCCUACCCUCCACUUCUACACUCGCUCGCUGUCCAAAGAGAUGCGGCAAAUUGAGCUUCGAUUAUCCCUUUGGCAUAGGACAAGGUUGUUUCCGCCAUGUCGAUUUCAGUCUCACAUGCGACAUGGCCACUCAGCCUCCUAAACUCUUCCUGAACAAUGGAUCGACAGAGGUUCUUGGUGAUAUUGGGGUAGAUGGUCUGAAUAUCUAUUUUAUCCACUUCAACUUAAUUCCGAUCACCUCCACCCAUGUCAUCCCUAUAAAUUCCGGUGGUGAUGUCUACAACUUUUCAUGGAAAAAUCCAGGGGAUUCUUUUACCUUUGCACGACAGGGCAUGACAUUUGUUGUCACCAGCUGUGACUUGGAUGUAUACAUGGUAGAUCAAGAAAAAAGCACACCUAUUUUGCUUGGCACUAUCGCUUGUCCCAGCAAAGAGAUUGCUGAGAUGGUAUACAGACAGGAUUCUGAAGGCCCUGGUUGGUACACUAUAGAUUCACUACCAGCUCGGACAGUUCAGUUACAGUUUGUUCGUCACAAGACCGGUAAUACCCAAAAGUACUUUAAUCUAACCAUGUUGUGGGAUAGAAUCAACAUUACUGUGAAGGCCAACCUUGCUUGGAAUAUUGUGGACCAAACAAGAUGCUUGAAUAACAUGGAGGAUGACAGGAAGAACCAUGCUUGUAUCAGCAAUCACAGUUCAUGUGUCUCCUCGCAGUAUAUUGAUGUUGGCUAUGCAUGCCGGUGCAAUGAUGGCUACGUUGGAAAUCCCUAUAUUAUGGAUGGCUGCAAACUCGAUGACGGUUAUAACCCAAGACCACAAAAACAUAAUUGCUCUCGACAAUGUGGAACAAUCGUUGUCCCAUUUCCUUUUGGCCUUGAAGAGGGUUGUGCCGCCAGGGAAGUGUUUCAGCUCUCGUGCCUAGGCAAGCCAAAUUCUGUGCUGCAGUACAAUGACUUCAUCGGUGUUCAGUAUAUAAAUAUUUUCAUCUCAAGGAGUAGUAUCCAACAUAUUUGGUAAAGGGCCUAACCUGUAUGUGGAUCCAACGGAAUCAGCCUCGGUGCAGUGGGCAGUUGCCAAUCUGACCUGCCAACAGGCGCAGCAAAACACUUCGACAUAUGCUUGUGUAAGUACCAAUAGCUCCUGCUCCAGGGUCAUCAGCACCAUGCAAGGUUAUGUUGGCUACAGGUGUACUUGUUUGCCUGGUUAUGAUGGAAAUCCAUAUAUCCCAGAUGGGUGUAAAGAUAUUGACGAAUGCCUACAAACACCACGGAUUUGCAAGGAACUUUGCCACAAUACUGAAGGAAACUACAGCUGCACCAUGUGCCCUGAUCAUACAGAGUAUGACGUUAUAAGAAUGCAGUGCACUCCAAGAAGAAACCAAAGUCUCUUGUUA